AGAGAAAGCAUCCAAAGGGAUCGCAUUGAUCCUAAUUAAGCUGAUUUAUUCCCCAAUAUUACUCAUUCGAAAGUUGGAGAAAAAAAGAAAAACAAAUUCCAAACAUUUGCUUUCUUUUCCGGAUCAUGCGAUCUCUUUGGAUUCAUUCUU
RNAcentral lists this microRNA precursor (150 nucleotides) under Arabidopsis thaliana x Arabidopsis arenosa. RNAcentral describes it as "mir-393". It matches the Rfam family "mir-393 microRNA precursor family". The record is from RNAcentral. Lineage: Eukaryota; Viridiplantae; Streptophyta; Magnoliopsida; Brassicales; Brassicaceae.